This 460-nucleotide ribosomal RNA is filed under the name uncultured bacterium. RNAcentral describes it as "partial 16S ribosomal RNA". It matches the Rfam family "Bacterial small subunit ribosomal RNA", at positions 338 to 795 of the family's 1533-position model. The record is from RNAcentral.
CCUACGGGUGACAGCAGUGAGGAAUAUUGGUCAAUGGGCGUAAGCCUGAACCAGCCAAGUCGCGUGAGGGAUGAAGGUUCUAUGGAUCGUAAACCUCUUUUAUAAGGGAAUAAAGUGUGGGACGUGUCCUGUUUUGUAUGUACCUUAUGAAUAAGGAUCGGCUAACUCCGUGCCAGCAGCCGCGGUAAUACGGAGGAUCCGAGCGUUAUCCGGAUUUAUUGGGUUUAAAGGGUGCGUAGGCGGCCUUUUAAGUCAGCUGUGAAAGUCUGUGGCUCAACCAUAGAAUUACCGUUGAAACUGGGAGGCUUGAGUAUGUUUGAGGCAGGCGGAAUGCGUGGUGUAGCGGUGAAAUGCUUAGAUAUCACGCAGAACCCCGAUUGCGAAGGCAGCCUGCCAAGCCAUGACUGACGCUGAUGCACGAAAGCGUGGGGAUCAAACAGGAUUAGAUACCCGGGUAGUC